GACGAACGCUGGCGGCGUGCUUAACACAUGCAAGUCGAACGGAAAGGCCCUGCUUUUGUGGGGUGCUCGAGUGGCGAACGGGUGAGUAACACGUGAGUAACCUGCCCUUGACUUCGGGAUAACUUCAGGAAACUGGGGCUAAUACCGGAUAGGAUCUCCUGCUGCAUGGUGGGGGUUGGAAAGUUUCGGCGGUUGGGGAUGGACUCGCGGCUUAUCAGCUUGUUGGUGGGGUAGUGGCUUACCAAGGCUUUGGCGGGUAGCCGGCCUGGGAGGGUGACCGGGGACAUUGGGACUGAGAUACGGCCCAGACUCCAACGGGAGGCAGCAGGGGGGAAUAUUGUACAAUGGGCGGAAGCCGGAUGAAGCAACGCCGGGGGUGGGAUGCCGGUCUGCGGGUUGUAAACCGCUGUCGCCUGUGACGAAGCGUGAGUGACGGUAAUGGGUAAAGAAGCACCGGCUAACUACGUG
This 468-nucleotide ribosomal RNA is filed under the name uncultured bacterium. Its description in RNAcentral is "partial 16S ribosomal RNA". It matches the Rfam family "Bacterial small subunit ribosomal RNA", at positions 28 to 507 of the family's 1533-position model. The record is from RNAcentral.